CACUAUGCAUGGCCGUAAAUACUGAUAUCUUAAAACAUUGAUCAUUCGCCAGGGUACUACGAACGUAAGUUUAAAACCCAAAGGACUUGGCGGUACUUCAGAUCCAACUAGAGGAGCCUGUUCUAUAACCGAUAUUCCCCGUUUAACCUCACCUUUCCUAGUUUAAACCGCCUAUAUACCGCCGUCAUCAGCCUACCCCGUGAGGAAACUGUAGUAGGCUUAAGCGCCACUAAUCCAAAAUGUCAGGUCGAGGUGUAGCGCAUGGAAAGGGAUGAAAUUGGCUACAUUUAGUGCACCCACUAUAUACGAACGAUGAGUUGAAACACCCAACAGAAGGUGGAUUUAGCAGUAAGAGGAAAACAGAGAGUUCCCCUGAAAUCGGCUCUGAAGUGCGUACACACCGCCCGUCACUCUCCCCGAAAAUUAAUACCUAUAUCCAUAAUACACCACCGCCAGAAAGGGGAGGCAAGUCGUAA
Molecule: ribosomal RNA, 476 nt
Filed under: Choerodon anchorago (orange-dotted tuskfish)
Lineage: Eukaryota; Metazoa; Chordata; Actinopteri; Labriformes; Labridae
Description: partial small subunit ribosomal RNA
Rfam family: Bacterial small subunit ribosomal RNA
Source: RNAcentral